RNAcentral lists this ribosomal RNA (231 nucleotides) under uncultured bacterium. RNAcentral's name for it is "partial 16S ribosomal RNA". It matches the Rfam family "Bacterial small subunit ribosomal RNA", at positions 524 to 753 of the family's 1533-position model. The record is from RNAcentral.
UACGUAGGGUGCGAGCGUUGUCCGGAAUUAUUGGGCGUAAAGAGCUUGUAGGCGGUUUGUCGCGUCUGCUGUGAAAAUCCGGGGCUCAACCCCGGACUUGCAGUGGGUACGGGCAGACUAGAGUGUGGUAGGGGAGACUGGAAUUCCUGGUGUAGCGGUGAAAUGCGCAGAUAUCAGGAGGAACACCGAUGGCGAAGGCAGGUCUCUGGGCCACUACUGACGCUGGAGAAG